GACACGAAGGCUCCAGCCAGUUGGUGCUUCUGCGCACUGUGAGCAGAGCUGCCCGGGAGCCCUACCCAGCUUGUCAGCCCUGCAGACUCCUGGGAAGACUGUCUGGCGGGCCCAGCAGGGGCCAGGCUAAAGCAGCUGGCUCUAGGGAGGCAGAAAAGCAGGUGUGAAUCUGUGACUAAUGCCAAAGAAGGGAGAUCAAAGGAGCAGAGCUGCUUUGGCUGAGGAAGUGAAGGACGCAGGCCAGUGGCACAAGAUGGAGUCGAUCAUACUCAUCGAAACCCCGUCCUAGCCGGCCUUGAAGUCGACCUCAACGUAUUC
This 318-nucleotide long non-coding RNA is filed under the name Cavia porcellus (domestic guinea pig). RNAcentral's name for it is "lncRNA (ENSCPOG00000034792.1)". Lineage: Eukaryota; Metazoa; Chordata; Mammalia; Rodentia; Caviidae. The record is from RNAcentral.